This 80-nucleotide transfer RNA is filed under the name Podarcis lilfordi (Lilford's wall lizard). Its description in RNAcentral is "tRNA.Arg". Lineage: Eukaryota; Metazoa; Chordata; Lepidosauria; Squamata; Lacertidae. The record is from RNAcentral.
GAGAGCUAUGGAUAGCUCAUUGGACUUCUGGCAUAGUGAAGUGAUUCAAAGGUUGUGGGUUCGAGUCCCACAGAGUUGCA